GAUGAACGCUGGCGGCGUGCCUAAUACAUGCAAGUCGAGCGAACAGACGAGAAGCUUGCUUCUCUGACGUUAGCGGCGGACGGGUGAGUAACACGUGGAUAACCUACCUAUAAGACUGGGAUAACUUCGGGAAACCGGAGCUAAUACCGGAUGAUAUAUUGAACCGCAUGGUUCAAUAGUGAAAGACGGUUUUGCUGUCACUUAUAGAUGGAUCCGCGCUGCAUUAGCUAGUUGGUAAGGUAACGGCUUACCAAGGCAACGAUGCAUAGCCGACCUGAGAGGGUGAUCGGCCACACUGGAACUGAGACACGGUCCAGACUCCUACGGGAGGCAGCAGUAGGGAAUCUUCCGCAAUGGGCGAAAGCCUGACGGAACAACGCCGCGUGAGUGAUGAAGGUCUUCGGAUCGUAAAACUCUGUUAUUAGGGAAGAACAAAUGUGUAAGUAACUGUGCACAUCUUGACGGUACCUAAUCAGAAAGCCACGGCUAACUACGUG
Molecule: ribosomal RNA, 497 nt
Filed under: uncultured bacterium
Lineage: Bacteria
Description: partial 16S ribosomal RNA
Rfam family: Bacterial small subunit ribosomal RNA
Source: RNAcentral